RNAcentral lists this ribosomal RNA (467 nucleotides) under uncultured bacterium. RNAcentral describes it as "partial 16S ribosomal RNA". It matches the Rfam family "Bacterial small subunit ribosomal RNA", at positions 29 to 507 of the family's 1533-position model. The record is from RNAcentral.
ACGAACGCUGGCGGCGUGCUUAACACCUGCCAGUCGAACGGAAAGGCCCUGCUUUUGUGGGGUGCUCGAGUGGCGAACGGGUGAGUAACACGUGAGUAACCUGCCCUUGACUUUGGGAUAACUUCAGGAAACUGGGGCUAAUACCGGAUAGGAGCUCCUGCUGCAUGGUGGGGGUUGGAAAGUUUCGGCGGUUGGGGAUGGACUCGCGGCUUAUCAGCUUGUUGGUGGGGUAGUGGCUUACCAAGGCUUUGACGGGUAGCCGGCCUGAGAGGGUGACCGGCCACAUUGGGACUGAGAUACGGCCCAGACUCCUACGGGAGGCAGCAGUGGGGAAUAUUGCACAAUGGGCGGAAGCCUGAUGCAGCAACGCCGCGUGCGGGAUGACGGCCUUCGGGUUGUAAACCGCUUUCGCCUGUGACGAAGCGUGAGUGACGGUAAUGGGUAAAGAAGCACCGGCUAGCUACGUG